AACGAACGCUGGCGGCAUGCCUAACACAUGCAAGUCGAACGAGACCUUCGGGUCUAGUGGCGCACGGGUGCGUAACGCGUGGUAACCUGCCCUUAGGUUCGGAAUAACUCCCCGAAAGGGGUGCUAAUACCGGAUAAUGUCUUCGGACCAAAGAUUUAUCGCCUUUGGAUGGGCCCGCGUUGGAUUAGCUAGUUGGUAGGGUAAAAGCCUACCAAGGCGAAGAUCCAUAGCUGGUCUGAGAGGAUGAUCAGCCACACUGGGACUGAGACACGGCCCAGACUCCUACGGGAGGCAGCAGUGGGGAAUAUUGGACAAUGGGCGAAAGCCUGAUCCAGCAAUGCCGCGUGAGUGAUGAAGGCCUUAGGGUUGUAAAGCUCUUUUACCCGGGAUGAUAAUGACAGUACCGGGAGAAUAAGCUCCGGCUAACUCCGU
This 432-nucleotide ribosomal RNA is filed under the name uncultured bacterium. Its description in RNAcentral is "partial 16S ribosomal RNA". It matches the Rfam family "Bacterial small subunit ribosomal RNA", at positions 29 to 506 of the family's 1533-position model. The record is from RNAcentral.